UUUAAAGCGUUGAAAGGGAAUAGUAAAUAAACGUUUUGGCGAAAGAGAGUGGAAUUCACCGGCUGAAAGAUUCCAUCGCAAAAAAACUUAUUGAACCUGCCCUGGAGCUGUUAGGCCAAACCCUAGCCGUCUUACCUGCGUUAACGGUUAAAGAGGACAUCUCAUAGAUGUCAAUUAAGGUGGUACCGCGGAUAACCUUCCGUCCUUUUU
RNAcentral lists this non-coding RNA (210 nucleotides) under Anaerobacillus arseniciselenatis. RNAcentral's name for it is "T-box sequence". It matches the Rfam family "T-box leader". Rfam says of the family: Uncharged tRNA acts as the effector for transcription antitermination of genes in the T-box leader family. T-boxes are found upstream of many aminoacyl-tRNA synthetase genes and some amino acid biosynthetic genes usually in Gram-positive bacteria. The anticodon of a specific tRNA base pairs to a specifier sequence within the T-box motif, and the NCCA acceptor tail of the tRNA base pairs to a conserved bulge in the T-box antiterminator hairpin. The record is from RNAcentral. Lineage: Bacteria; Bacillati; Bacillota; Bacilli; Caryophanales; Bacillaceae.